RNAcentral lists this ribosomal RNA (462 nucleotides) under uncultured bacterium. Its description in RNAcentral is "partial 16S ribosomal RNA". It matches the Rfam family "Bacterial small subunit ribosomal RNA", at positions 28 to 507 of the family's 1533-position model. The record is from RNAcentral.
GACGAACGCUGGCGGCGUGCUUAACACAUGCAAGUCGAACGGAAAGGCCCUUCGGGGUACUCGAGUGGCGAACGGGUGAGUAACACGUGGGUGAUCUGCCCUGCACUUUGGGAUAAGCCUGGGAAACUGGGUCUAAUACCGAAUAUGAUCAUCGGCUUCAUGGUCGGUGGUGGAAAGCUUUUGCGGUGUGGGAUGGGCCCGCGGCCUAUCAGCUUGUUGGUGGGGUAAUGGCCUACCAAGGCGACGACGGGUAGCCGACCUGAGAGGGUGACCGGCCACACUGGGACUGAGAUACGGCCCAGACUCCUACGGGAGGCAGCAGUGGGGAAUAUUGCACAAUGGGCGCAAGCCUGAUGCAGCGACGCCGCGUGAGGGAUGACGGCCUUCGGGUUGUAAACCUCUUUCAGCACAGACGAAGCGCAAGUGACGGUAUGUGCAGAAGAAGGACCGGCCAACUACGUG